RNAcentral lists this ribosomal RNA (182 nucleotides) under Setaria italica (foxtail millet). Its description in RNAcentral is "rRNA SSU_rRNA_eukarya". It matches the Rfam family "Bacterial small subunit ribosomal RNA", at positions 1388 to 1520 of the family's 1533-position model. Lineage: Eukaryota; Viridiplantae; Streptophyta; Magnoliopsida; Poales; Poaceae. The record is from RNAcentral.
CACCGCCCGUCACACCCUGGGAAUUGGUUUCGCCCGAAGCAUCGGACCAAUGAUCACCCAUGACUUCUGUGUACCACUAGUGCCACAAAGGCCUUUUGGUGGUCUUAUUGGCGCAUACCACGGUGGGGUCUUCGACUGGGGUGAAGUCGUAACAAAGGUAGCCGUAGGGGAACCUGUGGCUG